Glycine soja is the source of this 107-nucleotide non-coding RNA. Lineage: Eukaryota; Viridiplantae; Streptophyta; Magnoliopsida; Fabales; Fabaceae. The record is from Rfam.
GGAGCGAUUGGUAGCCAAGAAUGACUUGCCGGAAUGCAUGCAUUUAUUAGGUACCAAGGUGUAUUGUAUGAUUUCGACGAGUUGUUCUUGGCUACAUUUAUCUCUCU